Molecule: long non-coding RNA, 1406 nt
Filed under: Sus scrofa (pig)
Lineage: Eukaryota; Metazoa; Chordata; Mammalia; Artiodactyla; Suidae
Description: lncRNA (ENSSSCG00030070330.1)
Source: RNAcentral
AUCCUGUGAUAAAACAUUAUGGAAAAUAGUAAGAAAAGGAGUGCAUAACUGAGUCACUUUUUUAUACAGCAGAAAUCAAUACAAUGUUAUAAGUCAACAAUACUUCAAUAAUUUUUUUCAUAAAAAGACAGAAGCCAGGUCUCCCAGCAGACAUAUGUGUCCCCUAAGUCAUUUAACUUCUUGGAGAUGUAGUUCUUCAUUUGUAAAAUGCAGGCACUGAUACACCUUCAACUGUGAACCAAACCUAACAUAUACAUGAGGAGUUUCACUCUUGUCCGAGUGAUAGUGGAAGACAAUUUCCCUGUUUGAACAAAGGUGUUAGAAGGCAUAUGAUAUUUAAGUACUAAAAAUCAAGUUUUACCAUCAGUUUAGUUGGACAAACAAAAUAAAAACAAGCACAACUAUGUCUCAAUCAAAAGAUGUAAGAAGUAAAUAUGAUUUUACAUGACAAAAUGUCAACUCUAUAACAUAUUUCCAAUAAUUCUGACAUUAUCUUUUGAAAAAUUUCCCAAAAUUCUGAGAAAAAUGACGAACUGGAGGUUUACUCUAAAGUUAGAUUGCUGUUUUAUUAUCUAGUUUUAUGUGCAUUUGAAACUGAAGACUUUAUACAUGACCAAGAUGUUUGAUGUUAACCCUGAAAUUCUUUCCUCCACAUCUCUAGGCUACCGGCACCCCCUCUACAUCUACCUGCUCAGACAGUUUAAACAUGGAGACUACACCCAAGGGGACCUGCUGAUGAAGAAUAUUUGACAGAAGAGAAAGGGAAGAUGUGUGGGGAAGAGGUGUGAGGAAGUGGUUAUUUGUGUAAAGGGAAGAAGAUGAGCAGAGCAGAAACGGGGCCAAAGAAAGACGACCCAAGAAGUCAAGAAGGACCAGGAGAAUGAAGUGUCAGGAAGCUGUGGGAGAAUAGAGAAGUAAAGAGGCUGGGGUCAAAAGCCACAGGAGACUUCUGCUGAGGUAAGGACUGAAACAUGUCAUUUGCACUUAGUUGAGGAAUGACCAGUAAUUCAGAAGAGUAUUGAAAAUGAUUUCUGAGGAGUAAUGGAUACUGAUAGUUCUACAUAUUUUUUUUCUUUUAAUCCAAGAGGUUUUUAGAGGUGACUUAUGGAUAGAAGUUGUGGUAAGGGUCCUGUCGUGAUGGUGUGUUUGCAGAAUACUAACAUAAGGUUGAAAAAUUGUCAGUGUUCUAUAAAGAGAGUUGGGAGACUUAGGGAUUAAGUCCAUUGUAUCUGCUAGGGCCUCCAAUAUGAUGGAGUCAGAGCCAGAGAGCAAUGGUUGAAGGAAGGGUAUGCCUUGAGGAAAUAGGCUUAGGUUGUUAGGUGGGAGAGGGAGGGAUAAGGGGCAGUUAAAAUAAGAAACAAAAACAAGAAAGUAAUUUUGUUUUGCCCCUCUGGGGCUGCAAAAAG